ACACUGAUGAGGAGUCCCACAAUAGAACGAAACGGUCGUUCAGUAU
This 46-nucleotide non-coding RNA is filed under the name Schistosoma mansoni. The record is from RNAcentral. Lineage: Eukaryota; Metazoa; Platyhelminthes; Trematoda; Strigeidida; Schistosomatidae.